Molecule: ribosomal RNA, 433 nt
Filed under: uncultured bacterium
Lineage: Bacteria
Description: partial 16S ribosomal RNA
Rfam family: Bacterial small subunit ribosomal RNA
Source: RNAcentral
AACGAACGCUGGCGGCAUGCCUAACACAUGCAAGUCGAACGAGACCUUCGGGUCUAGUGGCGCACGGGUGCGUAACGCGUGGGAACCUGCCCUUAGGUUCGGAAUAACUCCCCGAAAGGGGUGCUAAUACCGGAUAAUGUCUUCGGACCAAAGAUUUAUCGCCUUUGGAUGGGCCCGCGUUGUAUUAGCUAGUUGGUAGGGUAAAAGCCUACCAAGGCGACGAUCCAUAGCUGGGCUGAGAGGAUGAUCAGCCACACUGGGACUGAGACACGGCCCAGACUCCUACGGGAGGCAGCAGUGGGGAAUAUUGGACAAUGGGCUAAAGCCUGAUCCAGCAAUGCCGCGUGAGUGAUGAAGGCCUUAGGGUUGUAAAGCUCUUUUACCCGGGAUGAUAAUGACAGUACCGGGAGAAUAAGCUCCGGCUAACUCCGUG